AUGGGGGCGGUGGCGAGGCUGCAGGCGGCGGUGACGUCGGACAGGGCGGAGAGCCUCCUCCGGGGCGCGUGCACGGCGGCGUCUGCGGCGUCCGCGCUGCUCCUGGGCCUGAGCGCGCAGACCAAGACGGUGCUCUUCGUCCGGAAGAAGGCCGUACCCAAGGACGUCGAGGCCCUCUGGGUGCUGAUCGUGGCGGCGGCCGUGGCCGCAGGGUACCACGCCGCGCGGCUCCUCAAGCGGCUAUACUCCGGCGGCCGCUUCGCCGGCGGCGAGGACGGCGGGAGCUGCGCCAGGGCGGUCGCGUGGGUAUGUUUCCUCCUCGACAAGGGGUGUGCGUACGUGGUGUUCGCGAGCGCCGUUGCGGCGCUGCAGGCAUGCUUCGUGGCGCUGAUGGGCGUGGAGCCCCUGCAGUGGAGCAGGCUCUGCAACAUCUACACCCGCUUCUGUGUGCAGGGCGCCUUCGGCAUGGUUUGUGGCCUCGCGGCCGCCGUCGGCAUGGCCGUCCUCUCCGUCUUCUCCGCGCGCGACCUCUUCCGGCUCUACUCGCCGGCUGGGCGCAGGCAGGCGCGGCUGAGAUCGGAAUCAAGUCAGACAGGCCUCAUGAUGAGUAGAAAUGAGAUGGCCAGAGAAAGCGCGGGAGAUGAUUAG
Molecule: ribosomal RNA, 648 nt
Filed under: Triticum aestivum (bread wheat)
Lineage: Eukaryota; Viridiplantae; Streptophyta; Magnoliopsida; Poales; Poaceae
Description: partial small subunit ribosomal RNA
Source: RNAcentral